RNAcentral lists this ribosomal RNA (459 nucleotides) under Streptococcus mutans. RNAcentral's name for it is "bacterial SSU rRNA". It matches the Rfam family "Bacterial small subunit ribosomal RNA", at positions 28 to 464 of the family's 1533-position model. The record is from RNAcentral. Lineage: Bacteria; Bacillati; Bacillota; Bacilli; Lactobacillales; Streptococcaceae.
GACGAACGCUGGCGGCGUGCCUAAUACAUGCAAGUGGGACGCAAGGGAAACACACUGUGCUUGCACACCGUGUUUUCCUGAGGCGCGAACGGGUGAGUAACGCGUAGGUAACCUGCCUAUUAGCGGGGGAUAACUAUUGGAAACGAUAGCUAAUACCGCAUAAUAUUAAUUAUUGCAUGAUAAUUGAUUGAAAGAUGCAAGCGCAUCACUAGUAGAUGGACCUGCGUUGUAUUAGCUAGUCGGUAAGGUAAGAGCUUACCAAGGCGACGAUACAUAGCCGACCUGAGAGGGUGAUCGGCCACACUGGGACUGAGACACGGCCCAGACUCCUACGGGAGGCAGCAGUAGGGAAUCUUCGGCAAUGGACGAAAGUCUGACCGAGCAACGCCGCGUGAGUGAAGAAGGUUUUCGGAUCGUAAAGCUCUGUUGUAAGUCAAGAACGUGUGUGAGAGUGGAAAG